UCCCUGUUACCAGGGCAGUCAAGCUAGAGAAAUUCAACUAACUAUAAGGGUUGCGCUCGUUGAAGGACUUAACCUAACAUCUCACGACACGAGCUGACGACGGCCAUGCAACACCUGUCACUUGGUUCAAUAAAGCACUCUCUGCUUUCGCAGAAAUUCCAAGGAAGUCAAGCCUGGGUAAGGUUCUUCGCUUACCAUCGAAUUAAACAACACGCUCCACCGCUUGUGCGGGUCCCCGUCAAUUCCUUUAUGUUUUAGUCUUGCGACCGUACUCCACAGGCGGGAUGCUUAACGCGUUAGCUCCGCUACUACACGGGUCGAUACGUAUAACAGCUAGCAUCCAUAGUUUACGGCGUGGACUAC
RNAcentral lists this unclassified non-coding RNA (363 nucleotides) under uncultured bacterium. RNAcentral describes it as "contains 16S-23S intergenic spacer region". The record is from RNAcentral.